GCCUGGAUUGCUCGGUUGGUUAGAGCGUGAUGCUGAUAACAACAAGGUUGCAGGUUUGAUCCCCGUAUAUUCCUGCAUUGCAGAUG
Podarcis lilfordi (Lilford's wall lizard) is the source of this 86-nucleotide non-coding RNA. NCBI's taxonomy places the organism in Eukaryota, Metazoa, Chordata, Lepidosauria, Squamata, Lacertidae. The record is from the annotation of a GenBank genome assembly.